Long non-coding RNA from Pieris napi, 3507 nucleotides. RefSeq lists it as uncharacterized. Lineage: Eukaryota; Metazoa; Arthropoda; Insecta; Lepidoptera; Pieridae. The record is from RefSeq and is a predicted model, not a curated record. The transcript has 2 exons.
AUUACCAAUAAAAUGUCAUGCCAAAAAGACGUAUGCGUAUACGACCUUGAAUUCGCGCCGCGCUCUUUCCACCCGCGCAGUCGCAGUGUUCAAUAGUCGGCCGUAUGGAGUGGACAGGCGGAACAUAGAAACGGACACAACAAUGAAUCGGACCAAAACUAUUCUUCGUUUAGCGCUACAUGAGACUCAAUCAAAUCAUGAAGAUUCACCAAUCGCUGUUGAAGAGCAGAUGGAGAUUUUGCAUUCUGUGCCUUCGUCACCUAUGGGAUCGCCUAUGACUUUUUCACAUACGGAGGUAAAAAGAGAAUCGCCACUUACAACAGAACAACGAGCGACAAUAGCCGAAAUGGAAAAUUUAGGCUUUAACGGUGAUGACUUUAAUGUUCCAAUAUUAUAUUCCAAUAAAUUACCAUUGUCAGUAUUUAGAACAAACAAGGAUUACGAACUACUAGAAUCAUCGGUUCCAUCAAUAGAAAAACAACUUACACCGCUGUUUACACCAGUAGCAUCCAUACACUCAAUAGGAAGCCCUAGCAUUAUAAAAACUUCUGAAAACCCACUUAACGAGAAUCUGCCAACUUUCAUUGAUGACAGCAAUGACUCUGUAGCAGACCCUAAUUACCAACCUGAAGACGAGGAAAUUCAGUGCUCGCCAAUGUCACCCAUUACGUCCUCAUCUUUAGUUCAAAUUAAACAAACAGUCAGCAUUACUAAUCCACAAGAAAUAGAAGAAUCGCCCACACUUGAAAGUAACCUUGAUGGAAUGGAAAAUUUAGGCUUUAACGGUGAUGACUUUAAUGUUCCAAUAUUAUAUUCCAAUAAAUCACCAUUGUCAGUAUUUAGGACAAACAAGGAUUACGAACUACUAGAAUCAUCGGUUCCAUCAAUAGAAAAACAACUUACACCGCUGUUUACACCAGUAGCAUCCAUACACUCAAUAAGAAGCCCUAGCAUUAUAGAAACUUCUGAAAACCCACAUAACGAGAAUCUGUCAACUUUCAUUGAUGACAGCGAUGACUCUGUAGCAGACCCUAAUUACCAACCUGAUGACGAGGAAAUUCAGUGCUCGCCAAUGUCACCCAUUACGUCCUCAUCUUUAGUUCAAAUUGAACAACCAGUCAGCAUUACUAAUCCACAAGAAAUAGAAGAAUCGCCCACACUUGAAAGUAACCUUGAUCGUCAAAAAGUGAAAAGAUGCAAAAGAAAAAUACCGGAAAAUUGGAAAAAAAACAUUAGAAAAACGAAGAAAAAUUGCGGUGAAACAUACAUAUCAAGUCAAGGAAAAAAUGUACCGGCAAAAAAGUGUGGCAAUGAAAAUUGUAAGUGUCAACGAGCUUGUCAUACAAAAAUUGAUAAUAGUACGAGAAAAAAUAUUCAUUUGUCAUUUUGGGGUUUGGGUAGUAUUGAAAGACAAAGGGAUUUUAUAGUAUCGAACGUGGUUUCAACUGAAGCAACAGGAUCACGUGUGACAAACUCGAGAAGGAAAUUCACUUUGAAUUACAGUUUCAAGAUUAAUUCGGAAACGGUAAAUGUGUGUCAACCUUUUUUUCUUCGUACACUGGAUAUCAGUGACAAGAUGGUCCGUACUGCUUUGAAGAAAGCGCGCCGAGGAGUGGGUAAUAUACCUUCCCCUGAUAAAAGAGGUCAUCACAUACCUUGCAACAAAUUUAGCGAAGACAACAUAAAGUUUGCUAAUGAUCACAUAGAUUCAUUUCCAAAAGUGCCUUCUCAUUGGUGCCGUAAAGAUACAAAAAAGAUUUAUUUGGAGACCAUUCUUAAUAAAGAAAAAAUGUACGAAUUAUAUAAGCAGCAAUGUUUGGAGAACCAUAAGAAACCCAUUGGAAAAACUUCGUAUAAAGAACUAAUUUUAAAUAAGAAUAUAGGUUUCCACAAACCAAGAAAGGACCAGUGUUGGUGUAACAAAUAUGAGCAAUUAACUGAAGAAGAACAAAAGGCGAAACAAGAAGAAUACGAAGAGCAUGUUAACAGAAAAUACUAUGCACAGGAAGAAAAAACAUCGGAUAAAAUUAAAGCAAUAGAAGAUAGCCGCUCACAUGUUUGUACUUUUGACUUUGAAGCAGUGCUAUAUUGUCCUUUGGUUUUAGGAAAACCUGUAUUUUAUAAACGGAAGUUAGGUAGCAUGAAUUUCACAAUUCACAAUGCAGCGACUAAACAAGGCUAUUGUUAUUUUUGGCCGGAAUAUGAAGGCAACCGUGGAUCAAACGAAGUAUCAACAUGUCUCUAUAAUUACAUCUCAAAUCUCUCCAAUGUUGAUCACCUGAUUUUAUUUUCUGACUGCUGUCCAGGCCAGAAUAGAAAUUCUGUGCUUGUUGCUAUGUUCAAUUAUAUCAUUACAUCACCUGACAAUGAGAUUAGAGUCAUUGACUAUAAAUUUCUUGAACCUGGUCACACCUACAUGGAGUGCGACAACAUGCACUCGACAAUUGAACGAGCUUCUGAGUAUGCCAAAAUCUACAUCCCUGAUGACUGGCAAAAUGUCAUACGACUAGCUCGUAAAGACAAUCCAUAUAAUGUUCAAGUUAUGGAACACACAGACUUUUUGGAUUUCAAAUCACUGCGAAGUACUAUUAUUCCAAAUACAAUGAAAGCCACUGAUGGAACUGUUUUGCAAUGGGCUAACGUAAGAUGGUUACGAUUUAAUAAAAACAUUCCCCAUUCGUUGUUUUUUAAAUAUGAUUACUGGGAAGAAUUCAAAGAGGUAAAAUUAAAGGAGAGAGUGACUAGAUCGGAACAUAAUUCGAAUCUUGCAAAACUGUACCCAGGACAAAUUUUGUUAAAACAAGCAAAACAUAAAGAUCUGAUGGAAAUGUGUCGAGAUGGGACGAUAACCAAGAAUCAUAACUACUACUAUGAAAAACUUCCUGUUCAGUCUGUAUCAGGAUCGUUGCCUCAGACUAGGCCUCGUCAAGAUGAUGACGAAUUGGAAUUAUCUGCAACACGAGCCUCAUAUUUAAGACGUCGGUCAGGGAAAAAGAAUUAAUCAGUUCAUUUGAUAAGAACCUACAUAGAUGUUUGAACUUAUUACUUUUGCUUGCUCAGUUGGAUCUAAAUAGAUUAAGUCGUUUGCCUGUACCUGCUCUAAAUUUAAAUGAGAUUGCAUGCAACUAAAUGGAAAGUACUUACUAUUCAUGUUUUUCAUCUUUAUAGAUAUUUUUAUAGAUGUAUUUUUUUUGUUUGUUUAUUUUGUUUCUAUUUAGGUAAACAUCUAUUUUUUAAUAGGUAACCAAGUUUAAUACUAUUCAUGUUUUUCAUCUUUAUAGAUAUUUUUAUAAUUAGCAGUUUUUUUAGUUUGUUUAUUUUGUUUCUAUGUAGGUAAACAACUUUUUUUCAACAGCUUUAAGAUCUCUGCAAUCGUGAAUGCUGAAUACGACCAAAGAAACAAUAAUUAUCUUUGUAGUACUAGAGUGUUAAUUAUACCUAUGCUAAGUUUUUCUUUUAAAAGUUUAAUGGUUCCAAGUUCCUUUUUAAAUAAUAAUAAUUUUAAAC